Molecule: small nucleolar RNA, 71 nt
Filed under: Echinops telfairi (small Madagascar hedgehog)
Lineage: Eukaryota; Metazoa; Chordata; Mammalia; Afrosoricida; Tenrecidae
Source: RNAcentral
AGUGUGCCCUUAUGAAGCUAAAGUUGCUUCCACACAGCUUUUGCAGUCAAAAAGAGCCCACAGUGAGGUUU